UACGAAGGGGGCGAGCGUUGUUCGGAUUUACUGGGCGUAAAGGGCGCGCAGGCGGCUAUCCAAGUCAGGCGUGAAAGCCCCGGGCUUAACCUGGGAGGUGCGUCUGGGACUGGGUGGCUAGAGUUCGGGAGAGGAGAGUGGAAUUCCCAGUGUAGAGGUGAAAUUCGUAGAUAUUGGGAAGAACACCGGUGGCGAAGGCGGCUAUCUGGACGACAACUGACGCUGAGGCGCGAAAGCGUGGGGAUCAAACAGG
RNAcentral lists this ribosomal RNA (253 nucleotides) under uncultured bacterium. RNAcentral describes it as "partial 16S ribosomal RNA". It matches the Rfam family "Bacterial small subunit ribosomal RNA", at positions 524 to 776 of the family's 1533-position model. The record is from RNAcentral.